Non-coding RNA from Jatropha curcas, 1336 nucleotides. Lineage: Eukaryota; Viridiplantae; Streptophyta; Magnoliopsida; Malpighiales; Euphorbiaceae. The record is from RefSeq and is a predicted model, not a curated record.
GUUCCUGGCUCUCCUCACUCCAGCUCUGUAUAGCCACGCGCCCACGCAAUCAAUUUUUAAUUUUUUAUGAGGUCAGCUACACUUCAAUGGCUACUUCAUCUUUUGCGACUACCUUAUCUCGCUUUGGUCUCUUACGGUUAACCAGAAAUAAGCCAUCUUUAAUCCCAUUAUUUCUUCACCAAUCCAACUCAAAGAAUCCUAAUAGAUUAAGACUGUUUUCAAUGGCGUCGGAGCCGAAGGAAUCGCCCGCUAACAACCCCGGUCUACACACUACCAUCGAUGAAGCCACCAAAGGAUACAUCAUGCAACAAACCAUGUAUCGAAUUAAGGAUCCAAAAAUCAGUCUCGAUUUCUACUCUCGCGUAUUGGGCAUGUCGUUGCUUAAGAGGUUGGAUUUUCCUGACAUGAAGUUCAGCUUGUACUUUUUGGGCUAUGAGGAUACAACGUCAGCUCCAAAUGACCCAGUUGAAAGAACAGUUUGGACCUUUGGUCGGAAGGCUACAAUUGAACUAACUCAUAAUUGGGGUACUGAAAGUGAUCCUGACUUCAAAGGAUAUCACAAUGGAAAUUCUGAUCCUCGUGGCUUUGGACAUAUUGGUAUUACUGUGGAUGAUGUGUACAAAGCAUGCGAGAGAUUUGAACAUCUAGGAGUGGAGUUUGCAAAAAAACCUGAUGACGGAAAAAUGAAAGGGAUAGCUUUCAUCAAGGAUCCAGAUGGCUAUUGGAUUGAAAUUUUUGAUCUCAAGACUAUUGGGAAAACAGUUAGCAGUGCAGCCUGAGAUAAGGACAAACAAACUUAAGGCUUUGAACUUCGCGGCCAUAGAGAUGACUGUACUACCACUGAAUCAAAGCUCAUUGGUAGCUUUUGAUGUGCUUUGACAACUUAAAGGGUCUGCUUUCUCUCUUUCAAAGGAAAAAUUGGAGCAUUUCGAGACUCAGAGAGAAGAAUUUCCUUGAAUUCGCCCAUGGAAAACUUGGUUUGGUAACAAAAUUUCUGUUGUAGUUUUCCAUAUGUCGCGUUGGUUUGCUUAUGCUUGUCAACAUUGGAUCAUAAAAACAGAAGGAUAAAAGUGGAACAUGUAGUUGUGGUAGAUGACCUAUGUUCCUAUUUAACAAAUGAAAGUCUUGAUUAGUUAUUUCUGUUGGUAGAUGACCUGGCCCCCAACUUGGUUGGAACCUACCAUUAGCCAAUAACAAAUGACUAGUGCUGCUUUAUUAUAAUUUUGUUAAAUUUUCUUCUUCGUUCUUGUGACACAAUAAUGCUUAGCAUUAAGGCUUUUUGUACAAUAGUGGAUUUUACAGCUAGAUGGACAGUCAGAAUUUUGCUUUCACGACA